CGAAAACGGAAUUUGCAUUGAGUGUUUUAACUGGAAUAUUUUGUGCUGCAGCAUUAGUUCUUUGUGUUUUAGUAGGAUUUUUAUUAUCCACUUUCACAUCUAUUAUGCAAACAUCGUUUUAAGACAUUCGAAGAUUCGCUCAAUGCGAACUGAAAUUGGAACAGAAAUUAAAAAUUGUGAAUUUUAUGAAAAGAUUUGGAAAAGCAUUUUUAUGUAUAUCUAUCAACGGUUUCUUCGAUGUUACCAAAAAGUUUCCUAUCAAGAUGUCUAGCGCUUUGAAUUCUGUGUAUUCGAGUCUGUUAAAUUUGAGGACCGUUUCCACGAAGAAAAUCUGCUCUUAUUGAAAUCUGAAUCCAAGAAUCUAUCUUUUUGAAUAUAAUUCUUUCUCAUAGCAUUUUAAUUAAUAACUUAAUUAAUUCAUGUAUAUGUGAUAAACUAGACAAACUAUUGUCGUUUUUUGUCACAUUAUUGUGAUAUUCUGAUAGCUUAUAAGCCUUGCAUAUUUAAAAUUAGAAUAACAGUUGAAAGUUGAAAUUUAUUACACUGUUAAGUACUUCAUGCACGCAAAAAGGGAGUUUUAAUGAAUCCAGUGGAAUAACUAAAAAAAAAAAUAUGCAUUCUAUAAAAAAGUCAUUAAAUAAUAAAUGCUAGACUUCAAGGAGGCUACAAAAUAGGGCUAUCAGUUUCAUCACCGAUGGCACUAGAAUCCGUGUAAAUGGGUUUAUUUUCUUAAAUGGGAGCCGCCAAUUUUUAUUGCAUAUUCUGAGGCUGCGUACA
Long non-coding RNA from Centruroides sculpturatus (bark scorpion), 777 nucleotides. RefSeq lists it as uncharacterized. The record is from RefSeq and is a predicted model, not a curated record. The transcript is spliced from 4 exons. Lineage: Eukaryota; Metazoa; Arthropoda; Arachnida; Scorpiones; Buthidae.